Non-coding RNA from Dioszegia hungarica, 88 nucleotides. The record is from the annotation of a RefSeq genome assembly. NCBI's taxonomy places the organism in Eukaryota, Fungi, Basidiomycota, Tremellomycetes, Tremellales, Bulleribasidiaceae.
GGGGGUUUGGUCUAGGGGUAUGAUACUUCAUUUGCAGCUCUAUUCUGUGGGUUUGAAGGGGUCACUGGUUCGAAUCCGGUAUCCUCCA